Molecule: long non-coding RNA, 2797 nt
Organism: Oryza sativa Japonica Group (Japanese rice)
Lineage: Eukaryota; Viridiplantae; Streptophyta; Magnoliopsida; Poales; Poaceae
Source: RefSeq, a predicted model, not a curated record
AAAAAAUCAACCGCGUUAUUAAAAACCCCCACAGCCCACAACCCACCACCCACCGCAUCCCUCUCCUCUCCCAGUCGCCUCCCUCUCCUCUUCUCCCAUACACGGCCGUCUCCCUCUCCUCUCCGGUAUUCUCAGAGGUGAAGGGAGCCUGCAGUGGUAACAACGACGGCGCGUGGAGGUGGAUCCGGCGAUGGGGAGGAGCAUAGGCGAAGCUCGUGGUGCGGAGGCGGAUCCAACGAUGGGGAGCAGCGACGAAGCUCGUGGUGCGCCGACAACGCGAGCUGCGGCGACUCAGGCCACGGGCGGUGGAUCUGGCGGCCCGGGGAGUCGCAGGCGGCGGUGGGUGGUGAAGGAGAGGGGCGGUCGUGGUGGAGAGGUGGAUCUGGCGGCGGGGAGCGGCGUGGUCGGUGGAGCCGUGGUGGGGAGGGGUGCGGGCGGCGGCGAAGAGUGGCGGUCUCCUCUCCCAGUCGCCUCCCUCUCCUCUCCUCCCAUACACGGCCGUCUCCCUCUCCUCUCCUCUCUAGUCUUCUCAGAGGCGGUGAAAGGGUGCCUGCAGUGGUAACGGCGACGGCGGCACGGAAGCUGAUCCGGCAACGAGGUGCAGCGACGAAGCUCGUGGUGCGGCGACAACGUGAGCUGCGGCGACUCGGGCCAUGGGCGGCGGAUCUGGCGGCCCGGGGAGUCGCAGGAGGCGGUGGGCGGUGAAGGAGAGGGGCGGUUGUGGUGGAGAGGUGGAUCUGGCGGCGGGGAGCGGCGUGGUGGGUCCCAUGGCGGGGAGGGGUGCGGGCGGCGGCGAAGAGUGGCGGUCGCGGUGGAUCCAGCAGCGGCUGCCACACGACGACGACGGCCGGGCCUCGAAGGUUCCAGCGGCUUCCUCUAACCCCCUCCCCUCUCCCAGAUCCAAUGGGUGGCGGUGGUGCUCGGCCGGUGCUCGAUCUGGCGGCAGCGACUCCGGCGGCACCCAUAUGUUUGAUAAUACAGGCAGAGUAAAAAUUAAAAUAAUUCAAAAGUAACAUGAAUUCACUGCACCCAUAUGUUUAAUCGAAGCAAUAUAUAUCCCUGCAUCAUAUAUAAAGUGCAGUAAAAAAUAUAAUAUUAAUGCAUGCGUGUUGUAGGUUCAUAAGCCUAAAAAAAAUGACAAGGUUAAAACAUAAAUAUAUAAAAAUUUCUGACAAUAUGUUGAUAAAAAGUAUCAAAUAUUAAAGUGAACAAAUACUCGCACGGUUAUGCCUUGUGGUUUAGAUCACAUUGGUAGUAAUACAUGUGAGUAUUUUAAGAAAAUCAGCCAAGAGUCAUAUACCUGCUGCAUAUAUUAAAGACAAAAUUUGCUACAGAAAAUUAAAAAAACGUAUAAUUAGCUAGUGGACAAAAAAAACUGGUAAUUAGUUGCUGGACACCUGCCAGAUUAUGUUAUUAUAUGUGAAGGAAUUGGAGAGAGAAACAGCUGUUGAGCCCGAGGGCGACGGCGCGGCGAAGUCAUGCUGGGCGCCUGGGUCACUCUCACGAUUGAGUUUGUUUUAUGUUAAUUUGGCGAAGCUGCGGGCUACUGCAGCACCACAGGCCGCAGUGGCAAGAGCAAGCAGCAAGUCUGCAAGGAAGCCAAGGAGCAAGGAAGCAAAACUAAAAGGCAAAUUUUGCUAAAGGACAUUGUUAAUGUGUGGUUUUAGCCCUAGGACACUACCUAAACUCACUUUUAGGGGAAAACACUCGAUGAAUAUAGUAAUUUGCCAGUGGACACCGUGACGAUUAAAAUAAUAAUUUCCGGUUAAAAAGGAGAGAAAAAUCACGUGAAAUGUCAAAAAUGUCCUUGGGCCCACAUGUCAGCUCUAUCUCCUAUCUCUCUUCUCAUCUCUCUCUAUCUUCUCUCCCAGAGGGGAACGGGGCGGCGUCGGUCGCUGGGGCUCGAGCUUGUUGCGGCGGAGGAGAUGGCGAGGACGGCGGUCGGCGGAGUGGAGCACAGCGUCGGCUGCGGCGGAGCGGAGCUAGAGGCCGAAGCAGGCGGGCGAGCACACGGUGGCUGGCGGAGUGGAGCGGGGCGGCGGCGGCGGUGGACGAGCGUGCGGCCGGCGGAGCGGCAGCGUCGGGCGAGCGGAGUGGCGGCAACGUCGAGCGAGCGCGUGGCAGGCGGGGUGGAGCGCUGGUGGCGGCGGGCGAUCGCACGAUGACCAGCGGAGCGGCGGCGGGCGGGGCGGGGCGGAGCGGAGCGGGCAGGUCGUGGCUGGCGGAGUAGAGCGGAGCGGCGGCAGGAGAAGGGGGGAGGAGGCCGGCCGGAUAGGGGGAGAUGAGGCCGGCGGGAGAGGGGGGAGGAUACGGCUGCACCGGCGGGAGAGGGGGAAGAGGCGACGGCCGCUCUCGCCAGCUGCUGGAAGGAGGUGAUAGAGAGAGAAGAGAGAUAAGAGAGCUAACAUGUGGGCCCAAGGGCAUUUUUGACAUUUCACAUGAUUUCUCUCUCCUCUUCAACCGAAAAUUAUUAUUUCAAUCGGCGUGGUUUCCACUGACAAAUUAUCAUGUUUAUGGAGUGUUUUCCCCCAAAAGUGAGUUUGUGCAGUGUCCUAGGGCUAAAACCACACAUUAGUAGUGUUCUGUAGCAAAAUUUGCCAAACUAAAAAGGAAUAAAAAGAGGGAGAGGAAGGGGAAGGUCUUGGCAUCACACAGUGGUACAUAUUGUUCAAUUGUUUAGAAUUUCAGCACAUUGCAAAUUCAAAGUGUACAGAUUUGUGAUUGGAAAUUUUGAAAUAAAAUUUGUGUAAUUGAUGCGAACCCUCGCAUUGAGAUAAUGUUAUGUUGUACACUAUCA